Molecule: ribosomal RNA, 397 nt
Filed under: uncultured bacterium
Lineage: Bacteria
Description: partial 16S ribosomal RNA
Rfam family: Bacterial small subunit ribosomal RNA
Source: RNAcentral
AUACGUAGGGGGCGAGCGUUGUCCGGAAUGAUUGGGCGUAAAGGGCGCGUAGGCGGCUUUGCAAGUCAGUAGUGGAAGUCCAUUUUUCAAGGAUGGAAGUGCUACAGAAACUGCGGAGCUUGAGUGCAGGAGAGGUUAUCGGAAUUCCCGGUGUAGCGGUGAAAUGCGUAGAGAUCGGGAGGAACACCAGUGGCGAAGGCGGGUAACUGGACUGCAACUGACGCUGAGGCGCGAAAGUGUGGGGAGCAAACAGGAUUAGAUACCCUGGUAGUCCACACUGUAAACGAUGAAUGCUAGGUGUAGGAGGUAUCGACCCCUUCUGUGCCGCAGUAAACACAGUAAGCAUUCCGCCUGGGGAGUACGGUCGCAAGGUUGAAACUCAAAUGAAUUGACGGGG